GGCCGUCCCCGCCCACCAGGUCUGGGAUCCCACCGUGGGGUUCGUCGUCAAGGUCCCUGCCGUCUCCAAGUUCUUCGUCAAGGUCCCCGCACAUCCUCUCCUCACCUCCUAGAUCGGAAUCGGCGCCUCCCUCCGCCACCGGCCGCCAUGUCACCGUCUCUGCUCGGGGGGCUCACCAAGUCACUGGCCAUGACCGUGCUCUCCAAGGUCGGCGACAAGACCUUCUUCACCGCCGCGGUUCGUGAAGAGGUCAAUCUGGUGUUGUGAAAGAAGGGGGCUGUCCAUGGAGAAGAUUCCGCGGCGAGCUCCUCAGGGAAGGCAAGUUGUCGCACCUGGAGAACUUUCCCAUCAGAGGGAGCAAUCAAGACAUUGUUAGGACAGUACCAGAUGUGCUCCUACGUGUUGAACAAUGUUAUGUAGUAGUGAGAUAAGGAAAAUUAUGUAGACUUUGUUAGGACAGUACCAGAUGUGCUCCUACGUGUUGAACAAUUCCUGUGUAAUGAAAUUUUGCAUUCCCUGUGUACAUGUUGCUUUAAUGACAGAUUGUGAAAAUUACUCA
Triticum dicoccoides is the source of this 559-nucleotide long non-coding RNA. RefSeq lists it as uncharacterized. The record is from RefSeq and is a predicted model, not a curated record. The transcript has 4 exons. NCBI's taxonomy places the organism in Eukaryota, Viridiplantae, Streptophyta, Magnoliopsida, Poales, Poaceae.